Solanum pennellii is the source of this 530-nucleotide long non-coding RNA. RefSeq lists it as uncharacterized. NCBI's taxonomy places the organism in Eukaryota, Viridiplantae, Streptophyta, Magnoliopsida, Solanales, Solanaceae. The record is from RefSeq and is a predicted model, not a curated record. The transcript has 2 exons.
UAGGCAAAUUAAUCAUUAUGUCAAAAAAUGACGGAGGAAAAAUUCUCUCUAACUGAUUUAUUGUUUCUCUUAUCUCUACUUGUACGCAAUCUAAUUUCCAAUGUGAUAAAAUUAUUACACAAACGCUGGAAGAAGGCACAUAGACGAAUCAAAGCAAUAGCCACAUGAUCUGGAAGGAUGUUUUUAAUGGGUAUUGGAAUGUAACAUAAAAUGAGUAUCAUGGGUCUUAUAACCAGACAAUUUCCUUUCAUCCAAGUGCACACACCUAGAUAUAUUGGAGGCACUGUCAUCAGGAAUAACAAAAAGAAUUCCAAGAAUGCUAUUAACUAUGAUCUUCUCUAUGUGCAUUACAUCAAGGUUGUGGCGUAACAAGUUGUGCUGCCAAUAAGGUAAUUCAAAAAAAUUACCCUUUUUUCCAUGGGCCAUCAUUUGAUCUCUUUCUCUUUUUUCCAAACACAUUUUCAAAAUCUUGUAAGCAAUUAAGCACAUCAGUUCCCUUUAAUAAAGAUGAUUCAGUUUUUCCAUUGAAA